CGGGGUGAGUAAUGUCUGGGAAACUGCCUGAUGGAGGGGGAUGACUACUGGAAACGGUAGCUAAUACCGCAUAACGUCGCAAGACCAAAGAGGGGGACCUUCGGGCCUCUUGCCAUCGGAUGUGCCCAGAUGGGAUUAGCUAGUAGGUGGGGUAACGGCUCACCUAGGCGACGAUCCCUAGCUGGUCUGAGAGGAUGCCAGCCACACUGGAACUGAGACACGGUCCAG
This 228-nucleotide ribosomal RNA is filed under the name uncultured bacterium. RNAcentral describes it as "partial 16S ribosomal RNA". It matches the Rfam family "Bacterial small subunit ribosomal RNA", at positions 104 to 334 of the family's 1533-position model. The record is from RNAcentral.